AGUGAACGCUGGCGGUAGGCCUAACACAUGCAAGUCGAACGGCAGCACAGUAAGAGCUUGCUCUUACGGGUGGCGAGUGGCGGACGGGUGAGGAAUACAUCGGAAUCUACUUUUUCGUGGGGGAUAACGUAGGGAAACUUACGCUAAUACCGCAUACGACCUACGGGUGAAAGCAGGGGAUCUUCGGACCUUGCGCGAUUGAAUGAGCCGAUGUCGGAUUAGCUAGUUGGCGGGGUAAAGGCCCACCAAGGCGACGAUCCGUAGCUGGUCUGAGAGGAUGAUCAGCCACACUGGAACUGAGACACGGUCCAGACUCCUACGGGAGGGAGCAGUGGGGAAUAGUGGACAAUGGGCGCAAGCCUGAUCCAGCCAUACCGCGUGGGUGAAGAAGGCCUUCGGGUUGUAAAGCCCUUUUGUUGGGAAAGAAAAGCAGCAGGUUAAUACCCCGCUGUUCUGACGGUACCCAAAGAAUAAGCACCGGCUAACUUCGUG
Molecule: ribosomal RNA, 492 nt
Filed under: uncultured bacterium
Lineage: Bacteria
Description: partial 16S ribosomal RNA
Rfam family: Bacterial small subunit ribosomal RNA
Source: RNAcentral